RNAcentral lists this ribosomal RNA (253 nucleotides) under uncultured bacterium. Its description in RNAcentral is "partial 16S ribosomal RNA". It matches the Rfam family "Bacterial small subunit ribosomal RNA", at positions 524 to 776 of the family's 1533-position model. The record is from RNAcentral.
UACGUAGGUGGCGAGCGUUGUCCGGAUUUAUUGGGUUUAAAGGGUGCGUAGGCGGUCUUAUAAGUCAGUGCUGAAAUAUCCCGGCUUAACCGGGAGGGUGGCAUUGAUACUGUAAGACUUGAGUAAAGUUGAGGUGGGCGGAAUUGACGGUGUAGCGGUGAAAUGCUUAGAUAUCGUCAAGAACACCGAUUGCGAAGGCAGCUCACUAAGCUUUAACUGACGCUGAGGCACGAAAGUGUGGGGAUCAAACAGG